This 440-nucleotide ribosomal RNA is filed under the name uncultured bacterium. Its description in RNAcentral is "bacterial SSU rRNA". It matches the Rfam family "Bacterial small subunit ribosomal RNA", at positions 340 to 773 of the family's 1533-position model. The record is from RNAcentral.
UACGGAAGGCAGCAGUGGGGAAUAUUGCACAAUGGGCGCAAGCCUGAUGCAGCCAUGCCGCGUGUAUGAAGAAGGCCUUCGGGUUGUAAAGUACUUUCAGUCGUGAGGAAGGUGUUAAGGUUAAUAACCUUAGCAAUUGACGUUAGCGACAGAAGAAGCACCGGCUAACUCCGUGCCAGCAGCCGCGGUAAUACGGAGGUGCGAGCGUUAAUCGGAAUUACUGGGCGUAAAGGGCACGCAGGCGGUUAAUUAAGUUGGAUGUGAAAUCCCCGGGCUUAACCUGGGAAUGGCAUUCAAGACUGGUUAGCUAGAGUCUUGUAGAGGGGGUAGAAUUCCAUGUGUAGCGGUGAAAUGCGUAGAGAUGUGGAGGAAUACCGGUGGCGAAAGGCGGCCCCUGGGACAAAGACUGACGCUCAUGUGCGAAAGCGUGGGGAGCAAAC